UAACCUGCCCAAGAGAUCGGGAUAACACCUGGAAACAGAUGCUAAUACCGGAUAACAANAGAUGAUGCCUAUCAACUGUUUAAAAGAUGGUUCUGCUAUCACUCUUGGAUGGACCUGCGGUGCAUUAGCUAGUUGGUAGGGUAACGGCCUACCAAGGCGAUGAUGCAUAGCCGAGUUGAGAGACUGAUCGGCCACAUUGGGACUGAGACACGGCCCAAACUCCUACGGGAGGCAGCAGCG
Molecule: ribosomal RNA, 240 nt
Filed under: uncultured Lactobacillus sp.
Lineage: Bacteria; Bacillati; Bacillota; Bacilli; Lactobacillales; Lactobacillaceae
Description: partial 16S ribosomal RNA
Rfam family: Bacterial small subunit ribosomal RNA
Source: RNAcentral